Molecule: ribosomal RNA, 119 nt
Filed under: Lepisosteus oculatus (spotted gar)
Lineage: Eukaryota; Metazoa; Chordata; Actinopteri; Semionotiformes; Lepisosteidae
Source: RNAcentral
GCCAGCAGCCAUAUCACCCUGCAACUCCCAGAUGGCAGCCCACUGAAGCUCAGCAGGUGUGAGCCUGGUCAGUACCUGGAUGGGAGACCUCCUGGGAAAAACUAGGGCUGCUGCUGGAA